GUUCGGUUUGCCUUUUACAAGCCACCUUCUUUUUCGAGUCAAGGCAACAAAUUUAAUAAACAGCACCGCUGACGAAUUGAACGAGAUCGGUUGUAAAAUGUUAUUUUCAGUUUUAUUUAGCUGGAUUUUUUUUAUAUCAGGGCCUGUCGGCGUGUUAUGUCAGCCCACUACCGAUUACUCUCCUGCAUCGACCGUUGCAUCGCUGAAUACAACAACAGUACAGUAUCCUUGGAGUUGCUCUGCGGACACAAAUCCGAGCUUGAUCGCAUGCGGGAGCUGCUCGUGGGGUCAUGAGUGUCAGCUUCUGCAUGGAUUCUGUUGUCAAGUAGCCCGUGAAAAUCCUUUUUCUUGCGCCGGAAGAUGUUGCUACGACAUCGCGGCAUCUCUGUGUAAUAUUACCAUAAACGUCGUUUUUCCGCCGUAAGUUUAUUUUAGGCAAGUGUCUUCUUAUCACUGUGCCAGUGACCAUCUCGUUUGUGACAAGUAACGCCAGCACUGAGUUCUAUAAUUAUGCUGUCGGCAUUUUCAUUCACUUGUCCUGUUAUAGAUGUCUGCUUAAUCUUCCCUUUCCAAUCCUUUCUAAUGAAGCAAAUUUUGCACUACUUCACUUUGUUUCACAUUCCGAAC
Paramacrobiotus metropolitanus is the source of this 627-nucleotide long non-coding RNA. RefSeq lists it as uncharacterized. The transcript has 3 exons. The record is from RefSeq and is a predicted model, not a curated record. NCBI's taxonomy places the organism in Eukaryota, Metazoa, Tardigrada, Eutardigrada, Parachela, Macrobiotidae.